Molecule: long non-coding RNA, 6694 nt
Filed under: Malus domestica (apple)
Lineage: Eukaryota; Viridiplantae; Streptophyta; Magnoliopsida; Rosales; Rosaceae
Description: long non-coding RNA (MDOM_LNC016760)
Source: RNAcentral
UCUGACACACCCCGUCCCGAAGGAGGGCAUGCUGGCCGUCACGUGAGAGUGACGUAACCAUUUGCACAGUACGGAAGCUUUAAUUAUACAAUUUAUAAGUUGAUACACCCGAAGGUGAGUCCUAAUUUUGUCCAAUCUGUCAGAACACCGUCGAAUUCCUCGUAGUCACCACACCUUUGUGAUUCCUGAACCUGGAGGGGCGCAAAACCAAAAUUGAGUGGGUCAGUAAAACAAUUCUUUUCCAAAUCCAAACAUUUCUCAAAACGUUGUAACCCCUCUCCGUAAAACCUAUAUACUUUCCCAGAAAUGUAAAAUAUAAAUAUACAUAUAUAUUCUCAAAACUUCAUUUUUACUAUCUCAACAUUAUCUCUUUAUCAAUCAUGCCAUGCCAUGUCAUCUCAACAUUUCUCAUAUUAAUUAUGCCAUGCCACAUCAUCUCAACAGUAAUAAGGUAUGAAUGCAUCAACAUAAUCAUAUCAGGUGCAAGAAAGUAAUCAACCGUAGGCCCUCUAAUAGCCCUAUACGGUUGAACCUAGAGCUCAAAAUCUAUCAUUAUCACUCUACCGGAGUCACCUCUGUGACCCGUCCGGCCUUCUGCACACAAGUUACGCUCUAGUGCUUCUCAUAAAUCAUCUGUGCACAUAAUCUAAGGUCACCCACCAGUCGGAAUCUCACUAACACUCUCGCGACUGGUCUGUCGUACCCACUCCGCGUGGACUGUACGACUAGCAUCUACUUGGAUCCAAGGCGAGCGUGCGAUGCGGUGAAUACUAUAAGCACUAAACCAUGGUGCAGGAUUUGAGCUCAAUAUAUAUCAUCAUCAUCAUAACAGUAAUUAAAUACUCACCUGUGCGUUCACCGCACCAUUUCAUACAUAUGUAUCAUAAAUCAAUUCUUACCUGUGCGUCCACCGCACCAAUUCAUACAUAUGCAUCAUAAAUCAAUUCUUACUUGUGCGUCCACCGCACCAAUUCAUACAUAUGCAUCAUAUAUCAAUUCUUACUUGUGCGUUCACCGCACCAAUUCAUACAUAUGCAUCAUAUAUUAAUUCAUGCAUGGCAUUUCAACUCACAUUUCUAUAUACUUUUCAUAUCAAUUCUAUGCAUGGUAUUUCACUUCCCGUUUUUCCACAUAACUCAUAUGCAUUUCAUUUUAAACAUAUUUUCAUUUCAAUUCAAUUUCUGGGAAACGUCAAGUAUAUAUAUAUACGGAAAACAAAACUGCCCACUCACCUGGAGUUCGUCCAACAACUCCCUAGCACCACACAUCAAGGCGUCACGACGAUCGCCGCCUAGAAUAGUAAUCAAAUCCAACCUCAGAAUUCAUAUCGAUAGAAUAUAUAACUUAUAUAAAAUACGUCACUACGUAGUUCGAUCCGGAAGAUCUGCCACUCAGAUUUUAAAUCCAUAACUUCCAGAGGUCCACAAUAUAUCUCUAGGAUAACAUCCUAAAAUUUCAUUACCAUCCAACGGUCGGAUCUUCGUCAAUUUCCAAAACCAAGUGACGGUUAACAUUUUAUAUUAUGGACUUACAAUUCCAAUUCCGGAAGAUCCGUAACUCGGAUUCCCAAUCCGUAAGUUCCAAUAAUCCUCAAAUAUUACGUAUUACAACGUAUCAAAGUUUGGUGACGAUCCAACGGUCGGAUCAUCAAUUCACAUUUUCACCUAAAUGUGAAAACUAUAAAACGUUAUUUGAACACCUAACCAACAAUCUUCAAUAACUUUCUCAUACGGUGUUCAAUUUAGGUAUAUGAAUAUACCACAGUGAUCUACUCGACGUCACGGACGUCGACAUAUUUUUAAAAUAUUUUUUUUUUAUUUUUUUAUUUUUACUGUAGCACCUUCUUCUUCCUUGGGUCGCCGGACUGGUUUUUCCGGCGGCCGUUUUCCGGGCAGUUUUUCAAAUUGCCAUAACUUUGUCAUUUCUCAACGAAAUCAAGUGAUUCAAAAACGAAAGUUGUAGCCCUUGAAGAGACAAAGAGAAUGGUACCUUGCACAACACCUAGUUCGCCGUGGUUUGGCCGGAAACUGCCUCGAAAGCCUCGGAGGUCGCCGGAAACUGGGUAUUUUUCAAAUGAGUAUAACUUCUUCAAUACUCAACGAAAUUGAGUGAAACAAAAAGGAAAGUUGUAGUACUUGACGAGACGAAGAGAUUGAUACCUACCUCGACUCCUAACUCGCCGGGGAUUCGCCGGAAAAAGCCUCGAAAGCUCCGGCCAAACUUUGAACUUGUCGAUCUCCGUGUUCUUACGUCCAAAAACUUCCAACGAAGCACUCCGAGCUUCCUUGGGACCUCACUAAGCUCACUAUGAGCUUGGAUUGUCCUAAAAAUCAACCAAUUCAAAGCUCAUGAACAGUACACUUUCAUGGGGAGUUUAGAAUCUAGGUUUUCCGAAGUAAAACUUACCUGAAAUGGAUACCAACGUGAUCGUGAAGUCCUCAGGAUUCCAAUGGUGGUCUCAAACUUGACGUUGGUAUAGAUUAGGGUGGUUUUGUGGUGGUCCGUGUGAGUUCGAAGGAGAGGGAGAGAGAGUGAAAAUCUGAAAUGGAAGAAGAAGAGAGAGAAGGAAAGGUUACGGAAAAUUGGGAGGAAAUUAGGGUAUAGGACCCUACCUAAAGUCCAACACAACAAUAGCUUAGAAAUUUUAGGUAAAACAAACACCAAAAUUACGCACCUUAAUCCCGUUUAAGGGCGUUUUUGUAAUUUCACAUCCUCGGAAUUAAAAAUUCCGGGACGGGCUAUGACAAUCUCCCCUCCUUAUAGAAUUUCGUCCCCGAAAUUCCAGCCACCAACCAAACUCUCAAUACUAAAAAAAAAUAGCCUCGGAUACAUAUCUCUCAUCCGUUCUUUUGUCUCCCAAGUAGCUUCUUCUGCUGAAUGGUUCCUCCACAAUACUUUUACCAAGCUCACGAUCUUAUUCCUCAGAGUCUUAUCUUUCCAAUCCAGUAUAGUCACUGGUUCCUCAUCAAGUCGAAUCCGGAUUAAUCUCCAAAGGUUGAACCAGAAUCUUAUGCGACAAAUCUGCCACCUAGUGACAACGCAUCGAACACAAAAUACAUUAUGUGCCUUAGCCAAUUCUGAAGGCAUCACAAACUUGUAUGCAACUUCGUCGAUUCCUUUAAUGAUCAAAACGGACUGAUGUGUUCAAGACUUAUCUUGUCUUCCUUUCUGAAUCUUACUAUUUCUGUUCAUGGUGAAAUUCCAAAAAUAUCAAACCAUUUACCUUACACACUCGAUUAGUGGCAUAUCCAUCUGUUGAUCUCUUUUGCCAUUCCUGGUUACUUCAGUUUAACUUAAUCACCUGAAUACUUUGAGGAGACUAAUCCAUAGUCUCAGGGUCUACUAAAACUCUUUCUUGAUCGAAUCUUUCUCUAUUCAGAAGCAUUCCAUUCACAAGUCAUCAAAAACCGACUCACGUGACACAUUUCAUGGUCCUUAUGGCGUUACUUCGGAAACUGCACAACCAACAUACUUAAGAAACUUAGCAGUUCCGUAAUCCAAUUCUCUUUUCCAUAAAACAAAUUAGUAAUGUUGCACUGUCUGGGAAAGGUUGUCAACACUGGAGUAAAUGUACUAACUUGUUACUUAACAAGUAUAACUUCUUCUCGAUCUUCCAUUCUUAACUUUACUUUAGUUGGUUUCCAAUCCACAAGAAGAUAAUCUUGGCAAACGUGCCAGACAUUAAUCUUACUGUAGUCUUCUCGCCAAGUGCUUGAGCUAGAACAAACUUUACGAUCACCCUGAUCGUACAAUCAUGUUCAUUAAGCAAUACAAUUCACUUUCGCUGCCUCAUAUCAAAAUCCUUCCAAGUAAUGGAUAUUGAAGACUUUUUGGAUUCGUAAAAAUCUUGCAUUCUUAUCAACAUAUAAUGCCUUCAUAACUUCACAGCAAGAAUGAUAAUCGUGACUUCCAAAUCACCAGUAGGGUAAUUCAUCUCAUGAGGUUCCAUUUAUCGUGAAACGUAUGCAAUCACCCUAACAUUUGCAUCAACAUGCCUCCAAUACCAUUCAAGAAACAUCACUAAAAAUUUAUGAUUACCACUAUUCUCUGGGAAUACCAAAAUACGUGCAUGAGUGAGGAAAUACUUCAGUUGUUGAAUCCUUUGCUCACAAUUUCCUUCCCACUCAUACAUAACCUCAUUUCUCCACAGUCAAUUUCUGCUAUCUUUUAAUGAUUCACUUGAAUACCUUAAGCAGACAUAACAAAUUUUAGAAUGCCACUUGAUCCAUUUAACUUUAGCUUUUGCUAAACUUAGCAUACAACUAACGUUCUCUCAAUCUUUGCUUCAUUGACUUAAUACGUUUACAUGCUCUGCUCUGGCUCAGAAUAUGCCAGAAUAUCUUCAAUGAAAAUGAUAUCAAUCUAUCAAGGCAUUAUUGGAAUACUUCAUCCAUCAACUCAUAAAACAGCAUGAGUAUCCAUAUAGCAUCACCAAACUUCAUAAAGACUAUAACGAGUCCAGAAAAACAAUCUUAGGAACAACGUUACUCAUAAUUUUCAAUUGAUAGUAACAGACUUCAAGUCAAUCUUUGAAAAGAUAAAAGCACCUUUGAACUGAUCAAAUGAGCGUCAAUACACCACAAUGGAUAACGGUUCUCAUUCGUUACCCGAUUCCAUUAUCUAUAAUCAAUGAAUAAUCUCUAAGUCCAUUUUCUUUCUCACCAACAAACUGGUGCUCCUCAAAAGUGUUGUACUAGGUUGAAUAAAACUUUUAUCAACCAAUUCCCUCAACUGAAUUUCCAAUUCCCUUAACUCAUCAUGAACCAAUCUCCAAUAUAAAUUUAUAUCUGGCAACAAAUCAAUAAUGAACCUCAUAUCUCUGCCUGAAGGCAAUCCAGGUAUACUUUCAAGGAAGACAUCAAGAAAAGUCUAACUCUUUCGACAUUAUUCACACUACUCCAAACAACAUCAUUUAGCACCACAUGAGCUAAGUAUUUUUGACAGCCUUUCAAAAACAAUCUCUUUGCUCUCACAGCAUAAAUAACAGCCUGACUCAAUCCAUUUUGCAUACUUACAAAAGUAAUCUCUGUUCAUCCAGAUCGAUGGAAAGUACUGGUUUCCCAUAACAUUUCGUCUUGUCACAAUUAUAACCAACCAAUCUAAUGGAAAUAAUUUAACCGACACAAUACAUACUCUAUUACUACUAAGCAUUCUGAAUAAGUACAAAAUAAUCUACCGGUUUACUUACUUAACGAAUCCACGAAUGAGUUAUUAAUAUUACGGUCUGCAGCCCGCAAUACUGAUAAAUCAUCGUUGUCUCGAUAAGUAGGCAACCACUCACAAAGAUAUAACAUUACUAUUUUGUCACUCAAUGCAAAAUACAUACACUCGUCUCAACUACAUUUAUUUACUACUUCCUAGGUAAUAGCAUACAUAAUAAGAAAUAUAUCAGCCGAAGUCAACUAGAAUGACCAAUACGGUUGAUUCAACUCUUAUCUCAAUAAUACGUCGGCCGGAUCCACUCCGCGUGGUAGGUACGGCCGAGCCUAUAACUCACUAAUUUCUCAUGUGUCAGUCAAAUCCACUUCUCAUGGUCUGUACGGCUGAACAUAUAACUCAUCAAAUAUCUCUGUACUCACGGUCAAUCCGACCAAACUACUAAAUCCAUAACUCUGCUAAAUCGACACUAUGAUUUCAUGGAAAAUUGUUGAGUACAACUGAUUCUAGGGACGAUUCACAACUCUGUGUCCCUUCUGUUCACAUAAACACAUUCAUUAAUUUCACAUUUCCCAAAGUGUUAAUUUUGUACCUGCUGCACAAAGUACAUUUCCUUUACUCGAGACACCUUGUCUCAAAUAUCUGGGAUUACCAGUAUAUCCAUCACUUUUACUCUGACCAGCGACAUUAAAACCUCAGCUGGAAGAAUUAACUCUAGCUUCACUUCUUUCGAAGCUCUGAAUCUUUCUAUAUCCUUGAUAUGACGAAUCAUUAACUUUAUCGUCAACUUCCUUGAUUCACAUUUGCAAACUCUUGCUUACUACCAUCGAUAAAUGUCGGAGGGAUAAACUUUUCCUUUAAACAAGUCCUUAAACAAUUCUCAAUCGACUGAUUCCUCUGGUGACAACAAUUCAUACUCCUGUUUCCACCAGGAUACAAAUUCAUAACCAAAACCAGGUAGUCGUCUCGACCCCUUGUCAGAAGGAAAUUUCCUUUGACUUGCAUAACCUGAAACAUCUUUUCCAAAUGGUUAAACCGUUACUUCGCUCCCUCAGGUUCAUCAUUUCAUAAGGUGAUUCAAAUUCAACUCAUAACCCGUCUUAAAAUGUCCAUUUUGAUAAUAUACCGAAUCACCAUGAUAAUAGUUUCCCCCAAACCGCUAAUUCAAGGAGACUAAAUUCCUCUAACUACGUGGUUUGCUACGAGGCGGUGUAAUUCUGACAGAAUUCACUAUAAACUUCUCAAGAUGUCCAAGAUUGCAACCAUGCUCUGAUACCAACUGACACACCCCGUCCCGAAGGAGGGCAUGCUGGCCGUCACGUGAGAGUGACGUAACCAUUUGCACAGUACGGAAGCUUUAAUUAUACAAUUUAUAAGUUGAUACACCCGAAGGUGAGUCCUAAUUUUGUCCAAUCUGUCAGAACACCGUCGAAUUCCUCGUAGUCACCACACCUUUGUGAUUCUGAACCUGGAGGGGCGCAAAACCAAAAUUGAGUGGGUCAGUAAAACAAUUCUUUUCCAAAUCCAAACAUUUCUC